GGUCCCAUAGCUCAGUUGGUUAGAGCGUCGUACUAAUAUUAUAUCGUAAUAACAUUGGUCCAUGCGAAGGCCGUGAGUUCGAGCCUCACUGGGACCA
Molecule: non-coding RNA, 97 nt
Organism: Xylaria digitata
Lineage: Eukaryota; Fungi; Ascomycota; Sordariomycetes; Xylariales; Xylariaceae
Source: the annotation of a GenBank genome assembly